AUCUCUAUACAUUUUUGUACUUCCUGGAUGCAUAGAGUAAGCAGAACAAUGGGCUUCCUCCAUGAUCUCUCUCUUCAAGCUUUCCACUCUAGGUACACAUAGUCUAUCACCACACAUUAAAGUCUCAUCCUCCCUUAGGGAAAAGUCGGUACGGGUGCCAUCUCUUACUUCAUUCCUGAUCUUACUCAACUGCUCAUCUUGAUUUUGGGCUUCUCUGACUCUUUCUAUCAAAACUGGUCGAACUUUGAGAGUUGCUAACAAUGCUCCUGCAUCAUCCACUGCUAGUUCUACCCUUAAGGAUCUAAUCUCUAGUAACAAAGGAAGCCGAACUGUUUUGAGAUAAGCCAAAUUACUAAAGGACUUGCGACUAAG
Molecule: long non-coding RNA, 372 nt
Filed under: Manihot esculenta (cassava)
Lineage: Eukaryota; Viridiplantae; Streptophyta; Magnoliopsida; Malpighiales; Euphorbiaceae
Description: long non-coding RNA (MESC_LNC007787)
Source: RNAcentral